Molecule: long non-coding RNA, 365 nt
Organism: Carassius gibelio (silver crucian carp)
Lineage: Eukaryota; Metazoa; Chordata; Actinopteri; Cypriniformes; Cyprinidae
Exons: 4
Source: RefSeq, a predicted model, not a curated record
GUGUGUAGUGUCUGUAGGUGUGUGUACUGUACUGUAGGUGUGUGUACUGUACUGUAGGUGUGUGUAGUGUCUGUAGGUGUGUGUACUGUACUGUAGGUGUGUGUAGUGUCUGUAGGUGUGUGUAGUGUCUGUAGGUGUGUGUACUGUACUGUAGGUGUGUGUAGUGUCUGUAGGUGUGUGUACUGUACUGUAGGUGUGUGUACUGUGCUGUAGGUGUGUGUAGUGUCUGUAGGUGUGUGUACUGUACUGUAGGUGUGUGUAGUGUCUGUAGGUGUGUGUAGUGUCUGUAGGUGUGUGUACUGUACUGUAGGUGUGUGUAGUGUCUGUAGGUGUGUGUACUGUACUGUAGGUGUGUGUAGUGUCUG